RNAcentral lists this long non-coding RNA (1292 nucleotides) under Pandoravirus neocaledonia. Its description in RNAcentral is "hypothetical ncRNA". The record is from RNAcentral.
AUCUGAUUUUCGUCGUAAUGGUGCUCGAUCAGCCAGCGCGCGAACGGCAAGUCCCCACUGUCGAGCGCCGCGCCGAGCACCGUCUUGGCAUCGUAGGCGUCACGGGGCAACGCCUUGACGACGGCGUGGUUCUUUAGGCGAAGGGCAUCGAAAAUGAGCACCCUGCAAUUGCCUCUCCAUUCAUGGAUUAGUGCCGUUUUCAGGGUAUCGCGGACGUGCGGGUCUUGCUUGACGGCAAAAACGGCCGCCAUCGUCGCCGUCGUAUUGUGCCUCAUCACCCGACGCCAAAUGUCCAAGGCCAACUUGUCAUAGUAAGGCCUAGGCGAGAUGCCGCCGCGUGGGUCACCGGACGGAGGCAAGCCUUGUGCGCGUUGAGAAUGGCGACGACAAAUGUGGGCUAGAGUCGUCAUCAGAGACGACGGACGAUCGUGUCGGAUGGCGUCGGUCGCCGCAUCGCGCAGGUCAUCGAGAGACAAUAGAUCUGCGAGCAUGUCGGCGCCCCGUACAUAUUGGCGACGUGUGCACAUGCGGUAUUAUGUGGUAAAUGCGCUGUACGAGUUGAUAGUGCGCUCGCCCGUCGCGAAGCAGACUCGGACGGAUUCGCGAUCAGACAGCGUGAGGGCACGGUCAAAGUGACGGUCGAGGCCCGACGCUGCCAUGGCAUCGACGAACCUCCAUCGCCACGCCGCAACAUCUGCGGACGGCGCCAGUUGGGCAGUGAGCGUCUCCAAGGCGGAAUCGUUGUCUGAAGCGGCAAACAAGUCGGCUAUUGCGCUGGCGCAAAUGGCUGCGCCAAUCGCCAUCCUUGCGGCGGCGUCAUCUGUCGCGCGGGGUGAGUCAAUAAGCAUCGCAGAAAUGGUCGCCACGAUCCGGCGACGAUCAGCCUCAGAUGGACUAGAGACGACCGCACGCCAAAGGCGGCAGGUCAUGCGUGCCGCAAACCGAAAGUGCGGGUCGAGCAGCGCCCGACCACGGUGAUCUGCGCCAUUGAGAACGUAAUCCCAUAAUUCGCGCGAGAGCACCGCGGUGGGACCGUUGGCAUCGCUAGAGGGCAUGGACAUGGCCAGUCAGUGGAUGCAAACCUGCAAGGCGGUCACGCAGAGACGACAACGAAUGGAGCGAAAAAAAGACAAACGAAAAGCAGAAAGCCAAUGGUAUUUUUUGUCGCUUAGAUUUUUUCCAUUGGCUGCGUCUGCUGUGUGGCUUUUUCAGUACCGGCCUCACAAGCGGCGCCACCAUAAUUUGUUUUGGUCGUCGUGGCCGACUGCCGACACCAUCAAUGAGGACCGGAA